RNAcentral lists this ribosomal RNA (1380 nucleotides) under Triticum aestivum (bread wheat). RNAcentral describes it as "partial small subunit ribosomal RNA". The record is from RNAcentral. Lineage: Eukaryota; Viridiplantae; Streptophyta; Magnoliopsida; Poales; Poaceae.
AUGUAUGAGGUCAACUGCAUGAUGCUCUACGUUCUUAGACUAAUAUCACGAGAAGAGAACUUGGUCACCUUUCUGUCCGACUUGAACAUUUCAGAGACACCUGCAGCGAGGCCUGUCUUUCUUUCUAUCCGACGCUGUGGCUCAGACGGUUUAAAUGGCACUGAAAGGUUAGAUCUGUCGCAUGUUCGUUCCAUAACCAUGAUUCGCUGUGACAAGGUGUUUUCGUUUAAGCAUUUGGGGUAUCUGCGAGUGUUGAAUGUGGAGGACUGUGAUGGUUUGGACGAUACCGAUGUACAACACAUAUGCAGACUGAUCCUGCUGAAGCACCUGAGUCUGAAAGAGACACCACAAGUCACUAGGCUUCCUCCACAAAUCGGGAACCUACGACAUCUUGAGACUCUAGAGAUCGAGCUGAUCCAAAUCAGUGUUCUCCCGCCACAGAUCGGGAAGCUGCAAAAUCUGGAGACACUGGAUGUAAGGCUGACACGAGUGAAAGAGCUGCCCAAGGAGCUCGUCCAGCUUCCCAAACUAGCAAAUCUGCAUUUUGGCCAUACUGGGGUGAGGCUACCUGCCGGAAGUGAUCGCUUCAAGUCAGUUAAGGUGCUGGGCACCAUUGAUUCGAGGGAAUGCUCGGUAAGCACCCUGGAGGAGAUUACUGGGAUGACUGGAUUGACUAAGGCUGAAGUCAUGUUGUACGGUGAGCCCGCCGACACGCCAGAAAAUGACAAUCUACUGUCUUGCAUGGGCAAGUGCACUAGUCUGCGGUCCCUAAUAGUUCACGGUGAUUUCAUUACGAGCGACGACCUUCCUGCGUCUCCCAACUUUCCUCUACUUGAAAAGCUAACGGUGACCGCAAGAUUUGUUAAAAUUCCCCGGUGGAUCGCACAGCUCAGCCGUCUUAAGAAGCUAGAAAUCAGGCUCUUUGAACAAGGACUAAACGAUCUCAAGAUACUUGGAGGUCUGCCCAGUCUCACUAGCCUUGCAAUCCAGCUGUUUGGUGACCCACGGAAACAAGUCACUGUAACUUCAGGUUUCGCCAGACUCGAGUUUUUCGCCUUCGACUGCUAUGCGCCAUGGGUAAAGUUUGAGCAGGGAGCCAUGCCAAGCCUGAGACACAUCGAGCUGACACAUUAUUCUGGCCCAGCAGGUAAAACCCCUGCAGGUAUCAUAUACCUUGAGAGCCUCCAGAAGGUCACCCUCAUCUACUCUUCACACUGUUCAAGUUGUGCUGGUGUCAUCGAGACAGUUGCUGUCAUGAGGAAGGAAGCUGCCAGCCAUGCUAAUCGGAUUGUGCUUUCUGUUAAUGGCGACGAUGAGAUUUUCCCAUCCAUCUCAAGUGUUGACGGAAAGAUUACCACAACCGAAAACGAAGAGUGUUAG